Molecule: ribosomal RNA, 448 nt
Filed under: uncultured prokaryote
Description: bacterial SSU rRNA
Rfam family: Bacterial small subunit ribosomal RNA
Source: RNAcentral
UCGAGAAUCUUCCGCAAUGCGCGCAAGCGUGACGGAGCGACGCCGCGUGGGUGAUGAAGGCCUUCGGGUUGUAAAGCCCUGUCAGUUGCUAGGAAUUGGAGGCGGUGAACAAUCGUCCUUCUUGACCAGGCUUCAGAGGAAGCACCGGCUAAAUACGUGCCAGCAGCCGCGGUAAUACGUAUGGUGCAAACGUUGUUCGGAAUCACUGGGCCUAAAGAGCGCGUAGGCGGUUUGAUAAGUCAGGUGUGAAAUCCCUCGGCUCAACCGAGGAACUGCACCUGAUACUGUCUGACUAGAGUGCAGGAGGGGAGAGUGGAAUUCCUGGUGGAGCGGUGAAAUGCGUAGAUAUCAGGAGGAACGCCGGUGGCGAAAGCGACUCUCUGGCCUGCUACUGACGCUGAGGCGCGAAAGCCAGGGGAGCAAACGGGAUUAGAUACCCCCGUAGUCC